CCUACGGGGGGCUGCAGUGGGGAAUAUUGGACAAUGGGGGGAACCCUGAUCCAGCCAUGCCGCGUGUGUGAAGAAGGCCCUCGGGUUGUAAAGCACUUUCAGUGAGGAAGAACGCCUGGUGGUUAAUACCCAUCAGGAAAGACAUCACUCACAGAAGAAGCACCGGCUAACUCCGUGCCAGAGCCGCGGUAAUACGGAGGGUGCGAGCGUUAAUCGGAAUUACUGGGCGUAAAGCGCGCGUAGGUGGCUUGAUAAGCCGGUUGUGAAAGCCCCGGGCUCAACCUGGGAACGGCAUCCGGAACUGUCAAGCUAGAGGGCAGGAGAGGAAGGUAGAAUUCCCGGUGUAGCGGUGAAAUGCGUAGAGAUCGGGAGGAAUACCAGUGGCGAAGGCGGCCUUCUGGACUGACACUGACACUGAGGUGCGAAAGCGUGGGUAGCAAACAGGAUUAGAUACCCCUGUAGUC
RNAcentral lists this ribosomal RNA (464 nucleotides) under Vreelandella stevensii. RNAcentral describes it as "partial 16S ribosomal RNA". It matches the Rfam family "Bacterial small subunit ribosomal RNA", at positions 338 to 795 of the family's 1533-position model. Lineage: Bacteria; Pseudomonadati; Pseudomonadota; Gammaproteobacteria; Oceanospirillales; Halomonadaceae. The record is from RNAcentral.